This 465-nucleotide long non-coding RNA is filed under the name Ailuropoda melanoleuca (giant panda). RNAcentral describes it as "lncRNA (ENSAMEG00000029195.1)". The record is from RNAcentral. Lineage: Eukaryota; Metazoa; Chordata; Mammalia; Carnivora; Ursidae.
AUGUACAGUCACAGUGCUUUCUUCGGAUCAUUUAGCAGGUCUGCACUCCCCCCCCUUGUGGGCGGUUUCUACUCAGGCAGCCAAUUCCUGGUUUGGAUCCCCCUGAGGACUCCAUGGACAGUGCUGGCAGCUCACGGACCUCCUCCUACCCACCGAACAAUGCCAAAGUGUUCUCAUGUUCAGUGGAAAAAGUGGGACCGGGCCAAGAAGACAGCUGAUUGCAAAUUCAUUUUCCAUGCAUGGAAUAAAUGGAAAAUGUCAAUGGAUCGUACAUCGUCCUUGGAAUUGAAGUCACAAAUGCGGCUACAGAAGCCCACGUGGUAUUGAAUAAACAAAUUCGUGGCUGGAAACAUGGUCCUCAGUCAUUACUUUUUCAAUUUCACAGAUGAGGUGGUGUGGGAGUCAUUCUUCAGGUUUCUGAAACUGGAGAAAAGCCUCCUCUCCUCACCUCCUACAUGGCCUCCU